Molecule: long non-coding RNA, 988 nt
Organism: Carassius gibelio (silver crucian carp)
Lineage: Eukaryota; Metazoa; Chordata; Actinopteri; Cypriniformes; Cyprinidae
Exons: 2
Source: RefSeq, a predicted model, not a curated record
CCUUUCUGUCGUUCAUUGUUGUUUGCAGCUCUGACGAACGCUGCUUCUGCUACUUAGAGGCUGGUCACUGCUAAUAUUGUACCUAGCUGAAUAUUUCUGUUCUGUAGAAAACAAGAAAAACAUCCUCUAAGCAAAUCGGACGUACUCAGGUGGAGCCACGUAACUGCUUUCUGUCUAAAAUGGUGAAGAGCACCAAGCUGUAACUCCAGGCUUCUGGACCAAACAGCUCUACAUGUUCCUCCACAGCACGACGUUCACGCUGGGAGAACGAGAAGGACAGUGGCACCACCAGCAGCAGGGCAUGGGCUCCAGGCUGGCACAGACUCAUACUUCUCAUUAUCUCCUUCUUCACAGACCAUGCAGAGGAGCCAUUGACAUUAAACCAUUCCCAACCUGGGGUGUCAACCACCAGCACCUGCUGUCCUCUCACAAGACCCUGACAUGACAAACUCAUUCGGGUCUUCACCCCAACCUCGUCAAAGGCUUUCUUGCCCAGAAUGGCAUUACCAGCAGCACUUUUCCCAGAUUCUGUCACUCCAACCAGGACAAUUCUCAGUUUAGGACAGUCAGGAAGACAAAUGCCUUGUUCUGUGGAUAAAAAGAUAGACAUGACAAAAGGCCAAAUUUAAGAUUUGUGUAUUUAAAUUGCAUAAAAAAAACAUUAUUAACUUCAUUCACAAAAUAAACUUUUUUUAUUGCAUAUUUUUCUGUCAUAAAUAUCAUGGUAUAGUUUAUUAUUAACUGUUUGCAAUGCAUCUCUUUGAUUUUAUUUAAAUAAUCACAUUUUCAAAAUGCUCUUUUUUCAUAUUGCUUAGAAUGAGAAUGAAUUUGUUCAAAACAAUUAAAUGUAUUGGAACAAUAAAUCGCUGCGGAACAGGCAACAUUAAAUGUAUGAGAUUGAAACUGUGUAAGUUACAUGACGAUUUUAUAUUGCUUGGUCUGAAUUGGUAGCAGUAAAAACAGUAAUAAAAAGGCUGUAUGAAUAUCA